This 251-nucleotide ribosomal RNA is filed under the name uncultured prokaryote. Its description in RNAcentral is "partial 16S rRNA". It matches the Rfam family "Bacterial small subunit ribosomal RNA", at positions 525 to 775 of the family's 1533-position model. The record is from RNAcentral.
ACGGAGGAUCCAAGCGUUAUCCGGAUUUACUGGGUUUAAAGGGUGCGUAGGCGGAGUGAUAAGUCAGUGGUGAAAGCCUACAGCUUAACUGUAGAACUGCCAUUGAUACUGCCAGUCUGGAGUAUGGUUGAGGUAGCUGGAAUGUGUCAUGUAGCGGUGAAAUGCUUAGAGAUGACACGGAACACCAAUGGCGAAGGCAGGUUACUAAACUAUUACUGACGCUGAGGCACGAAAGCGUGGUGAGCAAACAG